Molecule: ribosomal RNA, 387 nt
Filed under: uncultured bacterium
Lineage: Bacteria
Description: bacterial SSU rRNA
Rfam family: Bacterial small subunit ribosomal RNA
Source: RNAcentral
GACGAACGCUGGCGGCGUGCUUAACACAUGCAAGUCGAGCGGUAAGGCCCUUUCGGGGGUACACGAGCGGCGAACGGGUGAGUAACACGUGGGUGACCUGCCUUUAGCUCUGGGAUAAGCCUGGGAAACCGGGUCUAAUACCGGAUAUGACUCCGCGGCGCAUGUUGUGGGGUGGAAAGCCUUGUGCGGCUGGAGAUGGGCCCGCGGCCUAUCAGCUUGUUGGUGGGGUGAUGGCCUACCAAGGCGACGACGGGUAGCCGGCCUGAGAGGGCGACCGGCCACACUGGGACUGAGACACGGCCCAGACUCCUACGGGAGGCAGCAGUGGGGAAUCUUGUGCAAUGGGCGAAAGCCUGACGCAGCGACGCCGCGUGAGGGAUGACGGCC